UAUGGCAGAAGUAUAUGCAAUGAACUUAAGAUUCAUUUAUAAAGAUUUUUCUUUUAUUAGAA
This 62-nucleotide transfer RNA is filed under the name Limnometra nigripennis. RNAcentral describes it as "tRNA-Leu". The record is from RNAcentral. Lineage: Eukaryota; Metazoa; Arthropoda; Insecta; Hemiptera; Gerridae.